Molecule: ribosomal RNA, 416 nt
Filed under: uncultured bacterium
Lineage: Bacteria
Description: bacterial SSU rRNA
Rfam family: Bacterial small subunit ribosomal RNA
Source: RNAcentral
UGUUUGCCGGGGGAGCCUGAUGCAGCAACGCCGCGUGGAGGAUGACGCAUUUCGGUGUGUAAACUCCUUUUAUGAGUCAAGAAAAUGACGGUAGCUCAUGAAUAAGCACCGGCUAACUCCGUGCCAGCAGCCGCGGUAAUACGGAGGGUGCAAGCGUUACUCGGAAUCACUGGGCGUAAAGGACACGUAGGCGGGUUGGAAAGUCAGAUGUGAAAUCCUACAGCUUAACUGUAGAACUGCAUUUGAAACUUCCAACCUAGAGUAUGGGAGGGGGAGAUGGAAUUAGUGGUGUAGGGGUAAAAUCCGUAGAUAUCACUAGGAAUACCCAAAGCGAAGGCGAUCUCCUGGAACAUUACUGACGCUAAGGUGUGAAAGCGUGGGGAGCAAAUGGGAUUAGAUACCCCCAGUAGUACACA